GAGUUUGAUCAUGGCUCAGGACGAACGCUGGCGGCGUGCUUAACACAUGCAAGUCGAACGGAAAGGCCCUUCGGGGUACUCGAGUGGCGAACGGGUGAGUAACACGUGGGUGAUCUGCCCUGCACUUUGGGAUAAGCCUGGGAAACUGGGUCUAAUACCGAAUAGGAUCAUGCUCUUCAUGGGGUGUGGUGGAAAGCUUUUGCGGUGUGGGAUGGGCCCGCGGCCUAUCAGCUUGUUGGUGGGGUAAUGGCCUACCAAGGCGACGACGGGUAGCCGGCCUGAGAGGGUGACCGGCCACACUGGGACUGAGAUACGGCCCAGACUCCUACGGGAGGCAGCAGUGGGGAAUAUUGCACAAUGGGCGCAAGCCUGAUGCACCGACGCCGCGUGAGGGAUGACGGCCUUCGGGUUGUAAACCUCUUUCACCAGGGACGAAGCGCAAGUGACGGUACCUGGAGAAGAAGCACCGGCCAACUACGUGCCAGCAGCCGCGGUAAUACGUAGGGUGCGAGCGUUGUCCGGAAUUACUGGGCGUAAAGAGCUCGUAGGUGGUUUGUCGCGUUGUUCGUGAAAACUCACAACUCAAUUGUGGGCGUGCGGGCGAUACGGGCAGACUAGAGUACUGCAGGGGAGACUGGAAUUCCUGGUGUAGCGGUGGAAUGCGCAGAUAUCAGGAGGAACACCGGUGGCGAAGGCGGGUCUCUGGGCAGUAACUGACGCUGAGGAGCGAAAGCGUGGGGAGCGAACAGGAUUAGAUACCCUGGUAGUCCACGCCGUAAACGGUGGGUACUAGGUGUGGGUUCCUUCCUUGGGAUCCGUGCCGUAGCUAACGCAUUAAGUACCCCGCCUGGGGAGUACGGCCGCAAGGCUAAAACUCAAAGGAAUUGACGGGGGCCCGCACAAGCGGCGGAGCAUGUGGAUUAAUUCGAUGCAACGCGAAGAACCUUACCUGGGUUUGACAUGCACAGGACGCCGGCAGAGAUGUCGGUUCCCUUGUGGCCUGUGUGCAGGUGGUGCAUGGCUGUCGUCAGCUCGUGUCGUGAGAUGUUGGGUUAAGUCCCGCAACGAGCGCAACCCUUGUCCUAUGUUGCCAGCGGGUUAUGCCGGGGACUCGUAGGAGACUGCCGGGGUCAACUCGGAGGAAGGUGGGGAUGACGUCAAGUCAUCAUGCCCCUUAUGUCCAGGGCUUCACACAUGCUACAAUGGCCGGUACAAAGGGCUGCGAUGCCGUGAGGUGGAGCGAAUCCUUUCAAAGCCGGUCUCAGUUCGGAUCGGGGUCUGCAACUCGACCCCGUGAAGUCGGAGUCGCUAGUAAUCGCAGAUCAGCAACGCUGCGGUGAAUACGU
This 1346-nucleotide ribosomal RNA is filed under the name unidentified marine bacterioplankton. RNAcentral's name for it is "bacterial SSU rRNA". It matches the Rfam family "Bacterial small subunit ribosomal RNA", at positions 9 to 1371 of the family's 1533-position model. The record is from RNAcentral.